GCGGCGGCGGACGGUGGUCCGGCGGCGGAGCUGCGGUGGCGACGAUUUCCGGCGGCGGCGCGUGCGUUUCACGCGCGCGCGAAGGGCGGUUUUCUGGAGGCGCGUACGGCUUCGUCCGGGCUCCGUUUGAGGCGUGCUUGGUGUCUACGGCUUUGUCUCGACGAGAGGAACACGAUGAUGGGCUUGGAUGCACGAGAUUCGCAACGGUUAAGAAGUUAUGGUCGAUUUACUAAAACGGAACCGAAACUGAACUUAAAUCAUGGGAUUUUCGCGGUGGUUACCUGCGAUUAACGGUGGUGGCGAGCUCAACACGGUCACGGGGCGCAGAGGCUAUAACGAACUCCGGUGACGACCUCAACCUCUCCAAAUCCUUCUUUUCACCUCCCCCUCUCUUCUUUUAUCUUCCCUUCUCUUCUCUACUCUUCUCUUCUCUCUGAUUUUUUUUUCUUUUGAUUGCAGGUUAUUAGUGGAGAAGGUGGGUUUAAUAGAUGUGUUAAUGGGUGGAGUUGGUGGAGUGGAGAAGUUAGGUCGUGACAAUUCUCCCCUACUUACAAGGAAUUCGUCCCCGAAUUCAAUUCAUAAGCUGUCAUGCCCAAUGUCAAUCCGGAAAAGCUCCGGAUAAUCAAUCCUCAUCUGGGGCUCGGACUCCCAAGUCUCCUCCUGAAUACCAUCUCUCUCCCAACGAACUUUGACCAACAUAGUCAUCAUACCAUCAUCUGCUCUCACUUGGCGAUCCAAUAGCUCUACUGGCUGACACGGCGCACGCAAAUUCCUACCAAGGUCACUGGGCGGCUGCUGCAAAAUGAGCUCUGGUUCUCUCACGACUUUCCUCAAAACUGAAACAUGAAACACGUCAUGGAAAUCUGAUAACUCUUCGGAUAAAUCCAAUCGGUAAGCAACUGCUCCAAUUCGCUCCAAAAUGGGAUAUGGUCCCAUAUAUCUCGGUUUAAGCUUCUUCAGCUUCCGAGUCUUAGAUCCUCCCUGAAAUGUCCUCAUUUUCAGGUAUACCAGGUCGCCAACCUGGAACUCCAAAUCUUUACGCCGCUUAUCUGCAUAACUCUUCUGACGGUCAUGGGCUUCCCUAAGCCGUAUCUUAAGCAUCUCAACCUGCUCAACUGUCUCUUGAACCAUUGCAGGUUCUAUCUCACGUCGCUCCCCCACUUCGGUCCAACAAAGCGGUGUGCGACAAGGCCUACCAUAAAGGGCCUCAUAUGGCGCUAUCUUAAUGCUCGAGUGAUAACUAUUAUUGUAGGCAAACUCCGCUAGGGGUAGGUACUUUGCCCAACUCCCUUCCCAAUCCAAAACACAAGCUCUAAGCAUAUCCUCCAAAGUCUGAAUCGUCCUCUCUGACUGACCGUCUGUCUGCGGGUGAUACGCCGUACUCAUAUGCACUUUCGUCCCAAGCGCCUUCUGGAAGGCUCUCCAAAAUUCGGACGUAAACUUUGUAUCUCGAUCUGAUACAAUGCUGACAGGAACUCCAUGCAAUCUCACAAUCUCGCUGAUGUAAGUCUGUGCUAACUGAUCAGCUCUGUCCGUCUUCUUAAUAGCUAGAAAAUGGGCUGACUUGGUAAGUCUAUCCACGAUUACCCAGAUGGCAUUCUUUCCACCUAAGGUGGUUGGCAACCCCGUCACAAAAUCCAUAGUUACCAUGUCCCAUUUCCACUCUGGCAGUGGCAGGUUCUGCAAUAACCCGCUAGGCACCUGAUGCUCGGCCUUGACCAUCUGACACGUCUGACACUGCGAUAUAAAUGAAGCAACAUCCCUCCUCAUACCAGGCCAAUGAUAAUAACGCUUGAGAUCCUUGUACAUCUUGGUGUUUCCUGGAUGAAUAGAGAAACGCGAGUGGUGUGCCUGCUGCAAGAUUUCCUUUUUUAACAACUCAUCAUUAGGCACACAAACCCGGUUCCGAUACAUGAACAUCCCACUCGAAGCUGUAUGAUAUCCAAUACUCUCAAUCUCGAUCUGCUUACACAAAGCCUCAUCAGCAUCCUGAGUCUUACGCACUUUCCAUAACAAAUCUGCUUGCUCCACAGCCUCGAGGCCAACUGCCUCACCUUCCACGGUAGUGGCACACAAUCUGAGACUAGAAGGUGUCCUAGUAAACUCUUGAACCUCCUUGGUUCCUGAAACAUCGCUCCUGCGCCUGCUCAAGGCAUCUGCUACCUGAUUAGCUUUUCCCGGAUGAUAAGCAAUAUCCAGGUUGUAGUCUGCUAACAACUCGACCCACCUACGCUGCCUCAAAUUCAAAUCCGCCUGAGUGAAGAUAUAUUUCAAACUCUUAUAGUCCGUGAAGAUCUUCACCUUCUCCCCAUAUAAAUAUGAUCUCCAGAUCUUCAGUGCAAAUACAACUGCUGCUAACUCUAAAUCAUGCGUAGGAUAGUUGACCUCGUGAGGCCUCAACUGACGUGAUGCAUAUGCAAUGACCUAACCUUCCUGCAUCAAUACACAUCCUAAACCAGUGCCUGAAGCAUCGGUGUAAACCUCAUAUGGUAUCCCUGGCCUCGGGAGUACCAAAACUGGCGCAUGGGUCAGCUGUCGCUUCAACUCAGUGAAACUCCUUGAGCAAUCGUCUGACCAAUCAAACUUGACGUCUUUACCCGUCAGCUUUGUCAUCGGCUUUGCAAUGCUAGCAAAACUCUUGACGUACUUCCUGUAGUACCCUGCCAAACCGAGAAAACUGCGGAUCUCCGUAGCAUUCUUUGGCGUCGGCCACUCUGAAAUGGCGGUAAUCUUCUCCUGAUCUACUGCAACUCCUACUUCUGAAAUCACAUGGCCUAAAAAUCCAAUCUUCCUCUGCCAAAAGCUACACUUACUCACCUUGGCAAACAACUGGUGUUCCCGAAGCUUAUCCAGCACAAUCCUCAAAUGCUCAGCAUGCUCUUCUUUACUCCGAGAAUAAACCAAAAUGUCGUCGAUGAAAACGAUCACACACUUAUCCAAGUGCUCCCGAAACACAUCAUUCAUAAGCUUCAUGAACGCUGCCGGUGCGUUCGUCAAUCCAAAUGGCAUCACCACAAACUCAUAAUGCCCAUAGCGUGUACGGAAGGCCGUCUUCCGCACAUCUCCAUCAGCUAUCGCAAUCUGGUGGUAUCCCAAUGCCAAGUCAAUCUUAGAGAACCAAGAAGCUCCCUGCAACUGGUCCAACAACUCGUCAAUACGCGGAAGCGGAUACUUAUUCUUGAUGGUCACUUUGUUCAGACCUCUAUAGUCGAUACAAAGUCUGAAACUCUCAUCUUUCUUUUUCACGAACAACACUGGUGCUCCCCACGGUGAAGUACUCGACCUGAUAAAUCCCUUAUCCGAUAGCUCUUCCAACUGUUUCUUCAAUUCCGCCAUCUCAGCUGGUGCAAGGCGGUAUGGGGCUCGUGAAACUGGUGUUGCUCCUGGCUCCACCUCGAUCGCGAGAACGUCUGGUCUAGCUGGUGGCGGCCCUUUUAAAGCCUCAAAAACGUCUUCGUACUCGGAAACCACUGGAAUGUCAUGCAGCUCCUGCUGACCAUCCUCCUUAACCAUCGAAAUGGUCGCCAAAAAUCCUUAUGCUCCUCUCUCUAGUAGCUCAUCCGCAACAUGGAGACAAUGGAAAUUCCAUGGUGUGUCUGAAUCUCUUGGAAUAUGAUCUUCCCUUUUGCUCUGGGGAUAUGGACUCUCGCUCUCGGACAAUCCAGUACUACUUGAUGUCGUGACAACCAAUCCAUUCCAAGUAUAACAUCGUAGCAGCUCAUUUCCAGCUCCGUCAAAUCUCUGAGAAACUCAACUCCUCCAAGAAUAACUGGUACAUUGCGAUGAAUGCCGACUGCUCCCAACUUCUCUGUGCCGGCAGUCUGAAUCUUCUUAGCCUUCGGUUCGAAGACACCCCGAAAAGGCCAAGACUGGGCUAAGUGUGGACUCACAAAACUAUUAGAGGCUCCCGUGUCGAAUAAAGUGUGAGCUGAUUUUCCUCCAACCGAAACCGAUCCUACACGAGAUUUUGCUAACUACACAUGACAACCACAAACCAAAAUACUCAAACACAACAAGUAUGAAAAAGUCACAUACCCGCUAUCGGUUCAACUCCCUGGGGAUCUCCAACUGUAAAGACCCGUGGAGCGAUGGCUGGACGCUUCAGUGGUGGUGGAAGCGAUGCAUUGCCUCUCCUCGGACAAUCUCUGUAGAUGUGACCCGGCUGGUUGCAGCCGUAACAGUUCCUCGCUGCCACUGCUGGUGCUACUGCUGCUGCUGGCGCUGCAACCUGAGUACGUGGCGGCUUCCUACAAUUCUUCGAGAUAUGCCCAACCAGACCACAAUUAUAGCACUGGAAACAUUCCCCAAAAUGGUGGCGACGACAACGCCCACAACGGGGUGCUCCAGUCUGCUCCCAAGGCCUCUUCUGCGACCCCGAAGCCCCUCCUGCCUUAGGCUGAACUGCUUUGGAGAACUUCUGCUCCUCGCCCAUACAUUUCUCCUGCACAGCCGCCUUCUCUACCAGAUCCUCCAAACUGGUGUAGGUAACCACACUGCACCUACCACGAAGUUCUACUCGCAUCCCAUCUAAGAACCUCCUGAUCAGAUCCUCCUCAUCUAUGUUGUUACCCACAAAUCUGCGGAGUUGGUUAAACUCCCGCUCAUACUCCCUGACAGACUUUGCACCCUGCCUCAAAUGCUUGAAAUCAUUCUUCUUCUCAUGCAAAGCUUCCCUCGGAAAAUACUUCUUGUUGAACGCAUAAAGAAAAUCAUCAUAUGUCAGCUCACCACGGUGCAUCAAUCUCACUCCAUCCCACCAGAUUGAUGCAUCUCCGCGCAAAUACAACUCAGCGAUGUUUAGCUUGAGCCUUGGUGGGCACGAGAUGGUCUUCAAACACUUAUCCAAACUGUGCUUCCAAUCGUGAGCAACUGUAGGUUCCGUCGUUCCAGUGAAAUGCUCCAAACUCACAUACUUCAUCUGUCCCAACACCCUGAUAAAUGUCUCAUCAACCUCGGGCACCUGAACUGGGAAUGCAGGUGGCGGUGGUGGAACCUGAAAAACUCCUGGAACCGGCUGAACAGGAACCUAAGGGUACUGCUGGACUGGAGCCGGCUGAUGUGGAACCUGAUGAUAAUGCUGAACCUGAACUGGUGGAGCCUGCUGCAUGCGAAUCUGCGGACCCUGCUGCACUGCAGCCAUUUGUCUGGCAAUCUCCUGAGCAGCUACUCGGGCAGCCUCCUGGGCAGCUUGCUGGACUGCCUCCUGUGCAGCCUGCCUAGCGGCAUCCUGAACCAUCUGUCUCAAAGCAUCCUGAUCAAUAGGCGGAGCCGCCUGCUGCUGAACUGCGGGCUGGACAUGCUCAUCUUCAACCUCUCUAGCAACUCUGGGAGUCUGAGUACGAACAACUCUCUUCCUGGGCGCCAUCUGAAGGAAAAGCGAAAAAGUUAACUUAUGCCGAUCUCUGGAUACCAACAUUUAAGAAGUAGUGAUACCGAACGGAAAGGUGCGAUUUAUUUUCAUUUUCAAAACUCCCAAAUCCCCAAAAUAUUUUGAAAUCGUCUAAAACCGUUUAAACCGAAUAAAACCGAGUCUCCAAAAUCGCCAUCCCGGGUCGGAGCCGGGACGGAACCCGCUCUGAUACCAAAAUGUGACACCCCGAUUUACAUAAUAAAAUGUUACGAUAAGUAAAUAGCUCUGAUACCAAAAUGUGACACCCGCCACUUUCAAAAUAAAAUAAAUUGAUAAAAGCGAAAAUAAAAUAAUAAUACAACUCAAAUAAUAAUAAUCUUCAUAUAAUAUAAUAGUCGAUACGGUAACAAAAGGCCUAAAAGCCCAACAUCGAUAACAUCCGAAAUAUAAAAUACGAUAUAAACCAAAAGUCUGAAAUAGGAAUAACGUAGGCGAUAAAAGUCCAAAGGCCUGGAGGCCCGAUAACGAUAAAAGCGAUAAAACGAUAGAAGCCCAAAAUGCCCAAUAGCACCAGUCCGAUAAUCACUCCUGCUCGUCGGUCUCACCUGAAAGGGGGAAAUAAGGAGGGGUGAGCGACAGGGGAAUCGCCCAGUGAGGUAUGGGAUGCUAAACCGCAAACCACUGACUCAGUUCAUAGCACUACAACUAUGUAGGCAUAGCUCUAGCAUGAGACAAUCACGGUGCCUAUUACACCACACAGAACAAUCACAUAUGUCUAGUGGACUAGACAUGAUACAACCAAUGCGAUAAUAGCAUAUCACAUUUCCUCAUAAGGAUAUAUAUACUUUACAGGCGUCGCUAGCACAGUAGUCCACACUGCACCCCGCAAAUCUCUAAGGCGUCGUAAGUACAAACGUCUCUGUACCCCCGCAAAUCUCCACAAACAUGGCAGCCAGUGCAAACGUCUCUGCACCCCGCAAAACUCCUCAAACAUAGGCAGCCAGUGCAAACGUCUCUGCACCCCGCAAAUCUCCAAAACAUGGACUCGUAUAUAUAUACAUAUAUAUAACAAUUCUUAACAUCAAUCAUUUCAAUCAACCGUUGAAUCCUCUAUUAUCCUAUUUCCGGUUUAACAAUCAAUAAUAAUAAUAAACAAGCAAGACUCUCAAACAGACUCGAUCUCCAAAACAUGGACUCGUAUAUAUAUACAUAUAUAUAACAAUUCUUAACAUCAAUCAUUUCAAUCAACCGUUGAAUCCUCUAUUAUCCUAUUUCCGGUUUAACAAUCAAUAAUAAUAAUAAACAAGCAAGACUCUCAAAAAGACUCGAUUCACAGAGACGGAUCAUGUUUCGAAACUAAACUUUCCAUAACGGUAGUACUAAACUAGCUCGGGAUUUAACGGAGUAGCCCUCACCUUAGCAAUGAAGAGAAGUGGUAUAUAUGAACUCCAGCUGCUCAAAUGGACUCCAAAUCUGAAAUCAGAUCGAAAUUUCGAGUCAGAACGCCUUUCGAACGGUUUAAAACGGGUAUUUACGGAAAAGUCAACCCGCUGGUCAAAGAUCAAUUAUUUAAUUAAUUAAUUAAUUAAUUAAUAAAUUAAUUAAUCCGGUUUAUCCUAACCGAUUUCCAAUUGAUUUUAACCGACCGGUUUAACCUAACCGAAUUGAAAUCAAUUUAAACCGGCUAACCAAUCGGUUAACCGAGUCAACCGAGUUGACUCACCGGGUCGACUCGGCCGAGUUGGCGAGUCGCCGGCGAGUCACCGGUGUCGGUCAUCGGCGGCGACGGCGGAGCUACGGCGGCGGCUUACCGGUAAGUUGGCCGGCGGCGACGGCGGAGCUGCGGCGGAGAACGGUGGUCCGGCGGCGGCGCUGCGGCGGAGGACGGUGGUCCGGCGGCGGCGCGUGGAACUCACGCGCGCGCGGAGGUGAAACUUCCGGAGGCGCGUACGGCUUCGUCCGGGCUCCGAUCGUGACGCGGUUGGUGUCUACGGCUUCGUCUUGACGAGAGGAACACGAUGAUGGCCUUGGAUGCACGAGAUUCACUACGGUUAGAAAGUUAUGACCGAUUUACUAAAACGAGCGAAACAUAACUCAAAACAUGGCGGUUUCCGGUUACCUCGAGCUGCGGUUGAUGGUGAUGACGAGCUUGACGACGUCCUGGCGUGCGGUGGCUCCGGCGACGAGCUCAGGUGAGCUUUCUCUCUCUUUCUCUCUCUCUUUCUCUCUCUCUCUUUCUCUCUCUCUCUCUCUCUCUCUUUAAAGAAGUUGGAGAUGGUGGAGAUAAUGGAGAUGGCUCUCUCUCUUUCUCUCUCUCUCUCUCUCUCUCUCUUUAAAGAAGUUGGAGAUGGUGGAGAUAAUGGAGAUGGUGGGGAUGGUGGAGAUGGUGGGGAUAGUGGAGAUGGUGGGUCAUUACAAUUCUCCCCUACUUACAAGGAAUUCGUCCCCGAAUUCAAUUCAUAAGCUGUCAUGCCCAAUGUCAACCCGGAAAAGCUCCGGAUAAUCAAUCCUCAUCUGGGGCUCGGACUCCCAAGUCUCCUCCUGAAUACCAUCUCUCUCCCAACGAACUUUGACCAACAUAGUCAUCAUACCAUCAUCUGCUCUCACUUGGCGAUCCAAUAGCUCUACUGGCUGACACGGCGCACGCAAAUUCCUACCAAGGUCACUGGGCGGCUGCUGCAAAAUGAGCUCUGGUUCUCUCACGACUUUCCUCAAAACUGAAACAUGAAACACGUCAUGGAAAUCUGAUAACUCUUCGGAUAAAUCCAAUCGGUAAGCAACUGCUCCAAUUCGCUCCAAAAUGGGAUAUGGUCCCAUAUAUCUCGGUUUAAGCUUCUUCAGCUUCCGAGUCUUAGAUCCUCCCUGAAAUGUCCUCAUUUUCAGGUAUACCAGGUCGCCAACCUGGAACUCCAAAUCUUUACGCCGCUUAUCUGCAUAACUCUUCUGACGGUCAUGGGCUUCCCUAAGCCGUAUCUUAAGCAUCUCAACCUGCUCAACUGUUUCUUGAACCAUUGCAGGUUCUAUCUCACGUCGCUCCCCCACUUCGGUCCAACAAAGCGGUGUGCGACAAGGCCUACCAUAAAGGGCCUCAUAUGGCGCCAUCUUAAUGCUCGAGUGAUAACUAUUAUUGUAGGCAAACUCCGCUAGGGGUAGGUACUUUGCCCAACUCCCUUCCCAAUCCAAAACACAAGCUCUAAGCAUAUCCUCCAAAGUCUGAAUCGUCCUCUCUGACUGACCGUCUGUCUGCGGGUGAUACGCCGUACUCAUAUGCACUUUCGUCCCAAGCGCCUUCUGGAAGGCUCUCCAAAAGUCAGACGUAAACUUUGUAUCUCGAUCUGAUACAAUGCUGACAGGAACUCCAUGCAAUCUCACAAUCUCGUUGAUGUAACUCUGUGCUAACUGAUCAGCUCUGUCCGUCUUCUUAAUAGCUAGAAAAUGGGCUGACUUGGUAAGUCUAUCCACGAUUACCCAGAUGGCAUUCUUUCCUCCUAAGGUGGUUGGCAACCCCGUCACAAAAUCCAUAGUUACCAUGUCCCAUUUCCACUCUGGCAAUGGCAGGUUCUGCAAUAACCCGCUAGGCACCUGAUGCUCGGCCUUGACCAUCUGACACGUCUGACACUGCGAUAUAAAUGAAGCAACAUCCCUCUUUAUGCCAGGCCAAUGAUAAUAACGCUUGAGAUCCUUGUACAUCUUGGUGUUUCCUGGAUGAAUAGAGAAACGCGAGUGGUGUGCCUGCUGCAAGAUUUCCUUUUUUAACAACUCAUCAUUAGGCACACAAACCCGGUUCCGAUACAUGAACAUCCCACUCGAAGCUGUAUGAUAUCCAAUACUCUCAAUCUCGAUCUGCUUACACAAAGCCUUAUCUGCAUCCUGAGCCUUACGCACUUUCCAUAACAAAUCUGCUUGCUCCACAGCCUCGAGGCCAACUGCCUCUCCCUCUACAGUAACUGCACAUAAUCUUAGACUAGCAAGUGUCCCAGUAAGCUCCUGGACCUCUUUGGUUCCCGAUAUAUCGCUUCUGCGCCUACUCAAGGCAUCCGCCACAUGAUUGGCUUUUCCCGGGUGAUAUGUGAUCUCCAAAUUGUAGUCUGCUAACAACUCCAUCAAUCUACGCUGCCUCAAAUUCAAGUCCGUUUGCGUAAAUAUGUACUUCAGACUCUGGUGGUCCGUGAAAAUCUUCACCUUCUCUCCAUACAAGUAUGACCUCCAGAUUUUUAAUGCAAAUACAACUGCUGCCAACUCCAAAUCAUGAGUAGGAUAAUUGGCCUCGUGAGGCCUCAACUGUCGUGAUGCAUAGGCAAUGACCUGACCUUCCUGCAUCAGUACACAUCCCAAUCCGGUGCCUGACGCAUCUGUGUAAACAUCAUAUGGUAUCCCUGGCCUUGGGAGUACCAAAACUGGCGCAUGGGUCAGUUGUCGCUUCAACUCAGUGAAACUCCCCGAACAUUCCUCUGUCCAAUCAAACUCGGUGUCUUUUCCUGUUAGUCGUGUCAUUGGCUUUGCAAUGCUAGCAAAAUUGUUGACAUACUUUCUGUAGUAUCCUGCCAAACCGAGAAAACUGCGGAUCUCCGUCGCAUUCUUAGGUGUCGGCCACUCUGAAAUGGCGCUAAUCUUCUCCUGAUCUACGGCAACUCCCGCUUCUGAAACCACGUGACCCAAAAAUCCAAUCUUCUUCUGCCAAAAGCUACACUUGCUCAGCUUGGCAAAUAACUGAUGUUCCCGAAGCUUACCCAACACAAUCCGCAAAUGUUCAGCAUGCUCUCCUCUACUCCGAGAGUAAACCAAGAUGUCAUCUAUGAAAACGAUCACACACUUAUCCAAGUGCUCACGAAAUACAUCAUUCAUAAGCUUCAUGAACGCGGCUGGUGCGUUUGUCAACCCAAAUGGCAUCACCACAAACUCGUAAUGUCCAUAACGGGUACGGAAUGCCGUCUUCCGCACAUCUCCCUCAGCUAUUGCAAUCUGGUGGUAUCCCGAUGCCAAGUCAAUCUUAGAGAACCAUGAAGCUCCCUGCAACUGGUCCAACAACUCGUCGAUACGCGGGAGCGGGUACUUAUUCUUGAUGGUCACUUUGUUCAAACCUCUGUAAUCUAUACAAAGUCUGAAACUCCCAUCUUUCUUCUUCACAAACAACACUGGUGCUCCCCACGGUGACGUGCUUGGCCUGAUAAACCCCUUAUCAGAUAGCUCCUCCAAUUGUUUCUUUAACUCUGCCAUCUCAGUUGGUGCGAGACGGUAUGGAGCUCGUGAAAUUGGUGCUGCUCCUGGCUCUACUUCUAUUGUAAGAACGUCCGCUCUAGCUGGUGGUGGCCCUUUUAAAGGCUCAAAAACAUCCUCGUACUCGGCGACCACUGAUAUAUCAUGCAGCUUCUGCUGACCGUCCUCCUUAGCCAUCGAAAUUGUUGCCAAAAAUCCCUCUGCUCCACUUUCCAAUAAUUCUUCUGCACGCAACAUGGAUACGAUAGGAAUUUCCCGGUGUGUCUGAAUUUCCUCGCAAAUGAUCUUUCCUUCUUCUCUAGGGAUAUUAACUCUUGCCUUCGGACAAUCCAAGAUUACUCGAUGUCGCGACAGCCAAUCCAUCCCAAGUAUAACAUCGUAGGAGCUCAUCUCUAUCUCCGUCAAAUCUCCGAGCAACUCGACUCCUCCAAGUAGAACUGGUACAUCGUGAUAAAUGCCAACUGCACCCAACUUCUCCGUGCCGACAGUCUGGAUCUGCUUAGCCUUCGGUUCAAAGACUCCCCGAAAAGACCAAGACUGGACUAAGCGCGGACUCACAAAACUAUGAGAGGCUCCCGUGUCGAAUAAGGUGUGAGCUGACUUUCCUCCAACCGAAACCGAUCCCGCUAUCGGCUCAGCUCCCUGGGGAUCUCCAAUUGCAAAGACCCGUGGAGCGAUGGCUGGACGCUUCGGUGGUGGUGGAAGCGCUGCAUUGCCUCUCCUCGGACAAUCUCUGUAGAUGUGACCCGGCUGGUUGCAGCCGUAACAGUUCCUCGCUGCCACUGCUGGUGCUACUGCUGCUGCUGGUGUUGCAACCUGAGUUCGUGGUGGCUUCCUACAGUUCUUCGCAAGAUGCCCAAACUGAUCGCAAUUAUAGCACUGGAAACAUUCCCCAAAAUGGUGGCGACGACAACGCCCACAACGGGGUGCUCCAGUCUGCUCCCAAGGCCUCUUCUGCGACCCCGAAGCCCCUCCUGCCUUAGGCUGAACUGCUUUGGAGAACUUCUGCUCCUCACCCAUACAUUUCUCCUGCACAGCCGCCUUCUCUACCAGAUCCUCCAAACUGGUGUAGGUAACCACACUGCACCUACCACGAAGCUCUACUCGCAUCCCAUCUAAGAACCUCCUGAUCAGAUCCUCCUCAUCUAUGUUGUUACCCACAAAUCUGCGGAGUUGGUUAAACUCCCGCUCAUACUCCCUGACAGACUUUGCACCCUGCCUCAAAUGCUCGAAAUCAUUCUUCUUCUCAUGCAAAGCUUCCCUCGGAAAAAUACUUCUUGUUGAACGCGUAAAGAAAAUCAUCAUAUGUCAGCUCGCCACGGUGCAUCAAUCUCACUCCAUCCCACCAGAUUGAUGCAUCUCCGCGCAAAUACAACUCAGCGAUGUUUAGCUUGAGCCUUGGUGGGCACGAGAUGGUCUUCAAACACUUAUCCAAAUUGUGCUUCCAAUCGUGAGCAACUGUAGGUUCCGUCGUUCCAGUGAAAUGCUCCAAACUCACAUACUUCAUCUGUCCCAACACCCUGAUAAAUGUCUCAUCAACCUCGGGCACCUGAACUGGGAAAGCAGGUGGCGGCGGUGGAACCUGAAAAACUCCUGGAACCGGCUGAACAGGAACCUGAGGGUACUGCUGGACUGGAGCCGGCUGAUGUGGAACCUGAUGAUAAUGCUGAACCUGAACUGGUGGAGCCUGCUGCAUGCGAAUCUGCGGACCCUGCUGUACUGCAGCCAUCUGUCUGGCAACCUCCUGAGCAGCUAUUCGGGCAGCCUCCUGGGCAGCUUGCUGGACUGUCUCCUGUGCAGCCUGCCUAGCCGCAUCCUGAACCAUCUGUCUCAAAGCAUCCCGAUCAAUAGGCGGAGCCGCCUGCUGCGGAACUGCGGGCUGGACAUGCUCAUCCUCAGCCCUUCUAGCAACUCUGGGAGUCUGAGUACGAACAACUCUCUUCCUGGGCGCCAUCUAAGGAAAAGCGAAAAAGUUAACUUAUGCCGAUCUGUGGUUACCAACAUUUAAGAAGGAGUGAUACCGAACGGAAAUGUGCUAUUUAUUUUUAUUUUCAAAGUUCCCAAAUCCCCGAAAAUAUUUUGAAAUCGUCUAAAAUCGUUUAAACCGAAUAAACCAAGGUUUCCAAAAUCGCCAUCCCGGGUCGGAGCCGGGACGGAACCCGCUCUGAUACCAAAUUGUGACACCCCGAUUUACAUAAUAAAAUGUUACGAUAAGUAAAUAGCUCUGAUACCAAAAUGUGACACCCGCCACUUUCAAAAUAAAAUAAAUUGAUAAAAGCGGUAAAAGCGAUAGAAGCCCAAAAGCCCAAUAAUAGUAAAAGCCCAAAAGCACCGGUCCGGUAUAAUCACUCCUGCUCGUCGGUCUCACCUGAAAGGGGGAAAGAAGGAGGGGUGAGCGACAGGGGAAUCGCUCAGUGAGGUAUGGGAUGCUAAACCGCAAACCACUGACUCAGUUCAUAGCACUACAACUAUGUAGGCAUAGUUCUAGCAUGAGACAAUCACGGUGCCUAUUACACCACACAGAACAAUCACAUAUGUCUAGUGGACUAGACAUGAUACAACCAAUGCGAUAAUAGCAUAUCACAUUUCCUCAUAAGGAUAUAUAUACUUUACAGGCGUCGCUAGCACAGUAGUCCACACUGCACCCCGCAAAUCUCUAAGGCGUCGUAAGUACAAACGUCUCUGUACCCCCGCAAAUCUCCACAAACAUGGCAGCCAGUGCAAACGUCUCUGCACCCCGCAAAACUCCUCAAACAUAGGCAGCCAGUGCAAACGUCUCUGCACCCCGCAAAUCUCCAAAACAUGGACUCGUAUAUAUAUACAUAUAUAUAACAAUUCUUAACAUCAAUCAUUUCAAUCAACCGUUGAAUCCUCUAUUAUCCUAUUUCCGGUUUAACAAUCAAUAAUAAUAAUAAACAAGCAAGACUCUCAAAAAGACUCGAUUCACAGAGACGGAUCAUGUUUCGAAACUAAACUUUCCAUAACGGUAGUACUAAACUAGCUCGGGAUUUAACGGAGUAGCCCUCACCUUAGCAAUGAAGAGAAGUGGUAUAUAUGAACUCCAGCUGCUCAAAUGGACUCCAAAUCUGAAAUCAGAUCGAAAUUUCGAGUCAGAACGCCUUUCGAACGGUUUAAAACGGGUAUUUACGGAAAAGUCAACCCGCUGGUCAAAGAUCAAUUAUUUAAUUAAUUAAUUAAUUAAUUAAUAAAUUAAUUAAUCCGGUUUAUCCUAACCGAUUUCCAAUUGAUUUUAACCGACCGGUUUAACCUAACCGAAUUGAAAUCAAUUUAAACCGGCUAACCAAUCGGUUAACCGAGUCAACCGAGUUGACUCACCGGGUCGACUCGGCCGAGUUGGCGAGUCGCCGGCGAGUCACCGGUGUCGGUCAUCGGCGGCGACGGCGGAGCUACGGCGGCGGAUUACCGGUAAGUUGGCCGGCGGCGACGGCGGAGCUGCGGCGGAGAACGGUGGUCCGGCGGCGGCGCUGCGGCGGAGGACGGUGGUCCGGCGGCGGCGCGUGGAACUCACGCGCGCGCGGAGGUGAAACUUCCGGAGGCGCGUACGGCUUCGUCCGGGCUCCGAUCGUGACGCGGUUGGUGUCUACGGCUUCGUCUUGACGAGAGGAACACGAUGAUGGCCUUGGAUGCACGAGAUUCACUACGGUUAGAAAGUUAUGACCGAUUUACUAAAACGAGCGAAACAUAACUCAAAACAUGGCGGUUUCCGGUUACCUCGAGCUGCGGUUGAUGGUGAUGACGAGCUUGACGACGUCCUGGCGUGCGGUGGCUCCGGCGACGAGCUCAGGUGAGCUUUCUCUCUCUUUCUCUCUCUCUUUCUCUCUCUCUCUUUCUCUCUCUCUCUCUCUCUCUCUCUUUAAAGAAGUUGGAGAUGGUGGAGAUAAUGGAGAUGGUGGGGAUGGUGGAGAUGGUGGGGAUAGUGGAGAUGGUGGGUCAUUACAAUUCUCCCCUACUUACAAGGAAUUCGUCCCCGAAUUCAAUUCAUAAGCUGUCAUGCCCAAUGUCAACCCGGAAAAGCUCCGGAUAAUCAAUCCUCAUCUGGGGCUCGGACUCCCAAGUCUCCUCCUGAAUACCAUCUCUCUCCCAACGAACUUUGACCAACAUAGUCAUCAUACCAUCAUCUGCUCUCACUUGGCGAUCCAAUAGCUCUACUGGCUGACACGGCGCACGCAAAUUCCUACCAAGGUCACUGGGCGGCUGCUGCAAAAUGAGCUCUGGUUCUCUCACGACUUUCCUCAAAACUGAAACAUGAAACACGUCAUGGAAAUCUGAUAACUCUUCGGAUAAAUCCAAUCGGUAAGCAACUGCUCCAAUUCGCUCCAAAAUGGGAUAUGGUCCCAUAUAUCUCGGUUUAAGCUUCUUCAGCUUCCGAGUCUUAGAUCCUCCCUGAAAUGUCCUCAUUUUCAGGUAUACCAGGUCGCCAACCUGGAACUCCAAAUCUUUACGCCGCUUAUCUGCAUAACUCUUCUGACGGUCAUGGGCUUCCCUAAGCCGUAUCUUAAGCAUCUCAACCUGCUCAACUGUUUCUUGAACCAUUGCAGGUUCUAUCUCACGUCGCUCCCCCACUUCGGUCCAACAAAGCGGUGUGCGACAAGGCCUACCAUAAAGGGCCUCAUAUGGCGCCAUCUUAAUGCUCGAGUGAUAACUAUUAUUGUAGGCAAACUCCGCUAGGGGUAGGUACUUUGCCCAACUCCCUUCCCAAUCCAAAACACAAGCUCUAAGCAUAUCCUCCAAAGUCUGAAUCGUCCUCUCUGACUGACCGUCUGUCUGCGGGUGAUACGCCGUACUCAUAUGCACUUUCGUCCCAAGCGCCUUCUGGAAGGCUCUCCAAAAGUCAGACGUAAACUUUGUAUCUCGAUCUGAUACAAUGCUGACAGGAACUCCAUGCAAUCUCACAAUCUCGUUGAUGUAACUCUGUGCUAACUGAUCAGCUCUGUCCGUCUUCUUAAUAGCUAGAAAAUGGGCUGACUUGGUAAGUCUAUCCACGAUUACCCAGAUGGCAUUCUUUCCUCCUAAGGUGGUUGGCAACCCCGUCACAAAAUCCAUAGUUACCAUGUCCCAUUUCCACUCUGGCAAUGGCAGGUUCUGCAAUAACCCGCUAGGCACCUGAUGCUCGGCCUUGACCAUCUGACACGUCUGACACUGCGAUAUAAAUGAAGCAACAUCCCUCUUUAUGCCAGGCCAAUGAUAAUAACGCUUGAGAUCCUUGUACAUCUUGGUGUUUCCUGGAUGAAUAGAGAAACGCGAGUGGUGUGCCUGCUGCAAGAUUUCCUUUUUUAACAACUCAUCAUUAGGCACACAAACCCGGUUCCGAUACAUGAACAUCCCACUCGAAGCUGUAUGAUAUCCAAUACUCUCAAUCUCGAUCUGCUUACACAAAGCCUUAUCUGCAUCCUGAGCCUUACGCACUUUCCAUAACAAAUCUGCUUGCUCCACAGCCUCGAGGCCAACUGCCUCUCCCUCUACAGUAACUGCACAUAAUCUUAGACUAGCAAGUGUCCCAGUAAGCUCCUGGACCUCUUUGGUUCCCGAUAUAUCGCUUCUGCGCCUACUCAAGGCAUCCGCCACAUGAUUGGCUUUUCCCGGGUGAUAUGUGAUCUCCAAAUUGUAGUCUGCUAACAACUCCAUCAAUCUACGCUGCCUCAAAUUCAAGUCCGUUUGCGUAAAUAUGUACUUCAGACUCUGGUGGUCCGUGAAAAUCUUCACCUUCUCUCCAUACAAGUAUGACCUCCAGAUUUUUAAUGCAAAUACAACUGCUGCCAACUCCAAAUCAUGAGUAGGAUAAUUGGCCUCGUGAGGCCUCAACUGUCGUGAUGCAUAGGCAAUGACCUGACCUUCCUGCAUCAGUACACAUCCCAAUCCGGUGCCUGACGCAUCUGUGUAAACAUCAUAUGGUAUCCCUGGCCUUGGGAGUACCAAAACUGGCGCAUGGGUCAGUUGUCGCUUCAACUCAGUGAAACUCCCCGAACAUUCCUCUGUCCAAUCAAACUCGGUGUCUUUUCCUGUUAGUCGUGUCAUUGGCUUUGCAAUGCUAGCAAAAUUGUUGACAUACUUUCUGUAGUAUCCUGCCAAACCGAGAAAACUGCGGAUCUCCGUCGCAUUCUUAGGUGUCGGCCACUCUGAAAUGGCGCUAAUCUUCUCCUGAUCUACGGCAACUCCCGCUUCUGAAACCACGUGACCCAAAAAUCCAAUCUUCUUCUGCCAAAAGCUACACUUGCUCAGCUUGGCAAAUAACUGAUGUUCCCGAAGCUUACCCAACACAAUCCGCAAAUGUUCAGCAUGCUCUCCUCUACUCCGAGAGUAAACCAAGAUGUCAUCUAUGAAAACGAUCACACACUUAUCCAAGUGCUCACGAAAUACAUCAUUCAUAAGCUUCAUGAACGCGGCUGGUGCGUUUGUCAACCCAAAUGGCAUCACCACAAACUCGUAAUGUCCAUAACGGGUACGGAAUGCCGUCUUCCGCACAUCUCCCUCAGCUAUUGCAAUCUGGUGGUAUCCCGAUGCCAAGUCAAUCUUAGAGAACCAUGAAGCUCCCUGCAACUGGUCCAACAACUCGUCGAUACGCGGGAGCGGGUACUUAUUCUUGAUGGUCACUUUGUUCAAACCUCUGUAAUCUAUACAAAGUCUGAAACUCCCAUCUUUCUUCUUCACAAACAACACUGGUGCUCCCCACGGUGACGUGCUUGGCCUGAUAAACCCCUUAUCAGAUAGCUCCUCCAAUUGUUUCUUUAACUCUGCCAUCUCAGUUGGUGCGAGACGGUAUGGAGCUCGUGAAAUUGGUGCUGCUCCUGGCUCUACUUCUAUUGUAAGAACGUCCGCUCUAGCUGGUGGUGGCCCUUUUAAAGGCUCAAAAACAUCCUCGUACUCGGCGACCACUGAUAUAUCAUGCAGCUUCUGCUGACCGUCCUCCUUAGCCAUCGAAAUUGUUGCCAAAAAUCCCUCUGCUCCACUUUCCAAUAAUUCUUCUGCACGCAACAUGGAUACGAUAGGAAUUUCCCGGUGUGUCUGAAUUUCCUCGCAAAUGAUCUUUCCUUCUUCUCUAGGGAUAUUAACUCUUGCCUUCGGACAAUCCAAGAUUACUCGAUGUCGCGACAGCCAAUCCAUCCCAAGUAUAACAUCGUAGGAGCUCAUCUCUAUCUCCGUCAAAUCUCCGAGCAACUCGACUCCUCCAAGUAGAACUGGUACAUCGUGAUAAAUGCCAACUGCACCCAACUUCUCCGUGCCGACAGUCUGGAUCUGCUUAGCCUUCGGUUCAAAGACUCCCCGAAAAGACCAAGACUGGACUAAGCGCGGACUCACAAAACUAUGAGAGGCUCCCGUGUCGAAUAAGGUGUGAGCUGACUUUCCUCCAACCGAAACCGAUCCCGCUAUCGGCUCAGCUCCCUGGGGAUCUCCAAUUGCAAAGACCCGUGGAGCGAUGGCUGGACGCUUCGGUGGUGGUGGAAGCGCUGCAUUGCCUCUCCUCGGACAAUCUCUGUAGAUGUGACCCGGCUGGUUGCAGCCGUAACAGUUCCUCGCUGCCACUGCUGGUGCUACUGCUGCUGCUGGUGUUGCAACCUGAGUUCGUGGUGGCUUCCUACAGUUCUUCGCAAGAUGCCCAAACUGAUCGCAAUUAUAGCACUGGAAACAUUCCCCAAAAUGGUGGCGACGACAACGCCCACAACGGGGUGCUCCAGUCUGCUCCCAAGGCCUCUUCUGCGACCCCGAAGCCCCUCCUGCCUUAGGCUGAACUGCUUUGGAGAACUUCUGCUCCUCACCCAUACAUUUCUCCUGCACAGCCGCCUUCUCUACCAGAUCCUCCAAACUGGUGUAGGUAACCACACUGCACCUACCACGAAGCUCUACUCGCAUCCCAUCUAAGAACCUCCUGAUCAGAUCCUCCUCAUCUAUGUUGUUACCCACAAAUCUGCGGAGUUGGUUAAACUCCCGCUCAUACUCCCUGACAGACUUUGCACCCUGCCUCAAAUGCUCGAAAUCAUUCUUCUUCUCAUGCAAAGCUUCCCUCGGAAAAAUACUUCUUGUUGAACGCGUAAAGAAAAUCAUCAUAUGUCAGCUCGCCACGGUGCAUCAAUCUCACUCCAUCCCACCAGAUUGAUGCAUCUCCGCGCAAAUACAACUCAGCGAUGUUUAGCUUGAGCCUUGGUGGGCACGAGAUGGUCUUCAAACACUUAUCCAAAUUGUGCUUCCAAUCGUGAGCAACUGUAGGUUCCGUCGUUCCAGUGAAAUGCUCCAAACUCACAUACUUCAUCUGUCCCAACACCCUGAUAAAUGUCUCAUCAACCUCGGGCACCUGAACUGGGAAAGCAGGUGGCGGCGGUGGAACCUGAAAAACUCCUGGAACCGGCUGAACAGGAACCUGAGGGUACUGCUGGACUGGAGCCGGCUGAUGUGGAACCUGAUGAUAAUGCUGAACCUGAACUGGUGGAGCCUGCUGCAUGCGAAUCUGCGGACCCUGCUGUACUGCAGCCAUCUGUCUGGCAACCUCCUGAGCAGCUAUUCGGGCAGCCUCCUGGGCAGCUUGCUGGACUGUCUCCUGUGCAGCCUGCCUAGCCCUGCUGUACUGCAGCCAUCUGUCUGGCAACCUCCUGAGCAGCUAUUCGGGCAGCCUCCUGGGCAGCUUGCUGGACUGUCUCCUGUGCAGCCUGCCUAGCCGCAUCCUGAACCAUCUGUCUCAAAGCAUCCUGAUCAAUAGGCGGAGCCGCCUGCUGCGGAACUGCGGGCUGGACAUGCUCAUCCUCAGCCUCUCUAGCAACUUUGGGAGUCUGAGUAUGAACAACUCUCUUCCUGGGCGCCAUCUGAAAGAAAAGCGAAAAAGUUAACUUAUGCCGAUCUGUGGUUACCAACAUUUAAGAAGGAGUGAUACCGAACGGAAAGGUGCUAUUUAUUUUUAUUUUCAAAGUUCCCAAAUCCCCGAAAAUAUUUUGAAAUCGUCUAAAAUCGUUUAAACCGAAUAAACCAAGGUCUCCAAAAUCGCCAUCCCGGGUCGGAGCCGGGACGGAACCCGCUCUGAUACCAAAAUGUGACACCCCGAUUUACAUAAUAAAAUGUUACGAUAAGUAAAUAGCUCUGAUACCAAAAUGUGACACCCGUCACUUUCGAAAUAGUAAAAAUAAUUCGAUAAGUACAAAUAUCUGAAAUGUCCAUAUAUAAAUAUUUGAAAGUCCACAUCCACGCUUGAAUUCCAUAAUAUAAAAUAAAAUCUGAAACAUAAAGUACGACAUAAACCGAGAGUCCGAAAUACGAAAUAACAUAAACGAUAAAAGCCCAAAGGCCUAGAGGCCCGAUAACGAUAAAAGCGAUAAAAAGAUAGAUGCCCAAAAGCCCAAUAGUAGUAAAAGCCCAAAAGCACCGGUCCGGUAUAAUCACUUCUGCUCGUCGGUCUCACCUGAAAGGGGGAAAGAAGGAGGGGUGAGCGACAGGGGAAUCGCCCAGUGAGGUAUGGGAUGCUAAUCCGCAAACCACUGACUCAGUUCAUAGCACUACUAAAAUGUAGGCCUAGCUCUAGCAUGAAACAAACACGGUGUCGAUUACACCACACAAAACAAUCAACAUAUGUCUAGAGGACUAGACAUGCUACAACCAAUGCGAUGAUAUCAUACCGCAUUUCCUUCAUAAGGAUAUAUAUCUAUAAAUAUAAUUCUACAAGCGUCGUAAGUACAGUAGUCCACUCUGUACCCUCCGCAAAUCCACGGCCUAGUGCAGAAAUCUCUGCACCCCGCAAUCUCAAACAAUGCAGCCUAGUACAAACGUCUUUGUACCCCGCUAAACACACGGCCUAGUACAGAUAUCUCCGUACCCCGCGAUCUCUCAAACAAGGCGUAGCUAGCACAGACGUCAUGUGCCCCCGCAAUCACACGGCCUAGUACAAACGUCUCUGUACCCCGCAAAUUCCGCGGCCUAGUGCAGAUACCUAUGCACCCCGCAAUCUCAACACAUGGACUAACAUAUAUACAUAUAUAUAAUUAACAGUUUUUAGCAGCAAUCAUUUCAAUCAACCGUUGAAUCCUCUAUUAUCAUAUUUCCGGUUUAACAAUCAAUAUCAAUAACGAACAACCAAGACUCUCAAACAGACUCGAUUCAAAGAGACGGAUCCAUGUUUCGAAACUAAACUUUCCAUAAUGGUAGUACUAAACUAGCUCGGGAUUUAACGGAGUAGCCCUCACCUUAGCAAUGAAGAGAAGUGGUAUAUAUGAACUCCAGCUGCUCAAAUGGACUCCAAAUCUGAAAUCAGAUCGAAAUUUCGAGUCAGAACGCCUUUCGAACGGUUUAAAACGGGUAUUUACGGAAAAGUCAACUCGCUGGUCAAAGAUCAAUUAUUUAAUUAAUUAAUUAAUUAAUUAAUUAAUAAAUUAAUUAAUCCGGUUUAUCCUAACCGAUUUCCAAUUGAUUUUAACCGACCGGUUUAACCUAACCGAAUUGAAAUCAAUUUAAACCGGCUAACCAAUCGGUUAACCGAGUCAACCGAGUUGACUCACUGAGUUGACUCGGCCGAGUUGACCGAGUCGCCGGUGAGUCACCGGUGUCGGUCACCGGCGGCGACGGCGGAGCUGCGGUGGCGGCUUACCGGAAAGUUGGCCGGCGGCGACGGCGGAGCUGCGGCGGCGGACGGUGGUCCGGCGGCGGAGCUGCGGUGGCAACGAUUCCGGCGGCGGCGCGUGCGUUUCAUGCGCGCGCGAAGGGCGGUUUUCUGGAGGCGCGUACGGCUUCGUCCGGGCUCCGUUUGAGGCGUGCUUGGUGUCUACGGCUUUGUCUCGACGAGAGGAACACGAUGAUGGGCUUGGAUGCACGAGAUUCGCAACGGUUAAGAAGUUAUAGUCGAUUUACUAAAACGGAACCGAAACUGAACUUAAAUCAUGGGAUUUUCGCGGUGGUUACCUGCGAUUAACGGUGGUGGCGAGCUCAACACGGUCACGGGGCGCAGAGGCUAUAACGAACUCCGGUGACGACCUCAACCUCUCCAAAUCCUUCUUCUCACCUCCCCCUCUCUUCUUUUAUCUUCCCUUCUCUUCUCUACUCUUCUCUUCUCUCUGAUUUUUUUUUCUUUUGAUUGCAGGUUAUUAGUGGAGAAGGUGGGUUUAAUAGAUGUGUUAAUGGGUGGAG
Molecule: long non-coding RNA, 21685 nt
Filed under: Brassica napus (rape)
Lineage: Eukaryota; Viridiplantae; Streptophyta; Magnoliopsida; Brassicales; Brassicaceae
Description: long non-coding RNA (BNAP_LNC025567)
Source: RNAcentral